UACGAAGGGUGCUAGCGUUGUUCGGAAUGACUGGGCGUAAAGGGUGCGUAGGCGGCGAGAAACGUCUGAUGUGAAAUCCCUGGGCUUAACCUAGGAACUGCAUUGGAUACGGUCUGGCUAGAGUCCGCGAGAGGAAGAUGGAAUUGUGCGUGUAGAGGUGAAAUUCGUAGAUAUGCACAAGAACACCGGUGGCGAAGGCGAUCUUCUGGAGCGGUACUGACGCUAAGGCACGAAAGUGUGGGGAGCAAACAGG
RNAcentral lists this ribosomal RNA (253 nucleotides) under uncultured bacterium. RNAcentral describes it as "partial 16S ribosomal RNA". It matches the Rfam family "Bacterial small subunit ribosomal RNA", at positions 524 to 776 of the family's 1533-position model. The record is from RNAcentral.